RNAcentral lists this ribosomal RNA (465 nucleotides) under Vreelandella stevensii. Its description in RNAcentral is "partial 16S ribosomal RNA". It matches the Rfam family "Bacterial small subunit ribosomal RNA", at positions 338 to 795 of the family's 1533-position model. The record is from RNAcentral. Lineage: Bacteria; Pseudomonadati; Pseudomonadota; Gammaproteobacteria; Oceanospirillales; Halomonadaceae.
CCUACGGGUGGCUGCAGUGGGGAAUAUUGGACAAUGGGCGAAAGCCUGAUCCAGCCAUGCCGCGUGUGUGAAGAAGGCCUUCGGGUUGUAAAGCACUUUCAGUGGGGAAGAAAGCCUUGGGGCUAAUACCCUCGAGGAAGGACAUCACCCACAGAAGAAGCACCGGCUAACUCCGUGCCAGCAGCCGCGGUAAUACGGAGGGUGCGAGCGUUAAUCGGAAUUACUGGGCGUAAAGCGCGCGUAGGCGGUCUGAUAAGCCGGUUGUGAAAGCCCCGGGCUCAACCUGGGAACGGCAUCCGGAACUGUCAGGCUAGAGUGCAGGAGAGGAAGGUAGAAUUCCCGGUGUGGCGGUGAAAUGCGUAGAGAUCGGGAGGAAUACCAGUGGCGAAGGCGGCCUUCUGGACUGACACUGACGCUGAGGUGCGAAAGCGUGGGUAGCAAACAGGAUUAGAUACCCGAGUAGUC